AGUGAACGCUGGCGGUAGGCCUAACACAUGCAAGUCGAACGGCAGCACAGUAAGAGCUUGCUCUUACGGGUGGCGAGUGGCGGACGGGUGAGGAAUACAUCGGAAUCUACUUUUUCGUGGGGGAUAACGUAGGGAAACUUACGCUAAUACCGCAUACGACCUACGGGUGAAAGCAGGGGAUCUUCGGACCUUGCGCGAUUGAAUGAGCCGAUGUCGGAUUAGCUAGUUGGCGGGGUAAAGGCCCACCAAGGCGACGAUCCGUAGCUGGUCUGAGAGGAGGAUCAGCGACACUGGAACUGUGGCACGGUCCAGACUCCUACGGGAGGCAGCAGUGGGGAAUAUUGGACAAUGGGCGCAAGCCUGAUCCAUCCAUACCGAGUGGGUGAAGAAGGCCUUCGGGUGGUAAAGCCCUGUUGUUGGGAAAGAAAAGCAGCAGGUUAAUACCCCGCUGUGCUGACGGUACCCAAAUAAUAAGCACCGGCUAACUUCGUG
Molecule: ribosomal RNA, 492 nt
Filed under: uncultured bacterium
Lineage: Bacteria
Description: partial 16S ribosomal RNA
Rfam family: Bacterial small subunit ribosomal RNA
Source: RNAcentral